UUUCCCACCUCCUGCCUCUUCCUCGGUGCUGUUGGACGCUCACUAGAGCCCCAUCCCGAUGCCCCAGCCUCCCCCCUUCUUCUUGGCCUCCCGUAUUCUUCCUCCGCUGCCAUCUUUGCAUCGGAUCGGGUGUCCCUACGUUGGAUGAAGCUUCUCCUCAUCGGAUCCCCCAUCCCAAGACUCCCCCUUCUUCCCCCACCGCACCAUCGAAAUGCCGCCGC
This 221-nucleotide long non-coding RNA is filed under the name Elaeis guineensis (African oil palm). RNAcentral describes it as "long non-coding RNA (EGUI_LNC057629)". The record is from RNAcentral. Lineage: Eukaryota; Viridiplantae; Streptophyta; Magnoliopsida; Arecales; Arecaceae.